RNAcentral lists this ribosomal RNA (708 nucleotides) under uncultured bacterium. Its description in RNAcentral is "bacterial SSU rRNA". It matches the Rfam family "Bacterial small subunit ribosomal RNA", at positions 585 to 1298 of the family's 1533-position model. The record is from RNAcentral.
AAGUCAGCAGUGAAAUACCUAAGCUUAACUUAGGAGACGCUGCUGAAACUAAUAAACUUGAGUCUGGGAAAGGCAAGCGGAAUUGCCGGUGUAGCGGUUAAAUGCGUUAAUAUCGGCAGGAACACCAAAUGCGAAAGCAGCUUGCUAGAACAGUACUGACGCUCAUGGACGAAAGCGUGGGUAGCGAAUGGGAUUAGAUACCCCAGUAGUCCACGCCGUAAACGAUGGAUACUAGACAUCGGAAGUAUCGACCCUUUCGGUGUCGUUUAACCAAGCUAAUGCGUUAAGUAUCCCGCCUGGGGAGUACGGCCGCAAGGCUAAAACUCAAAGGAAUUGACGGGGACCCGCACAAGCGGUGGAGCAUGUGGUUUAAUUCGACGAUAAGCGAGGAACCUUACCAAGGCUUGACAUCCAGCUGCACACCCUAGGAGAAUAGGGUUCCUUCGAGGGUGUUGGACAGCUGGUGCAUGGUUGCCGUCAGCUCGUGUCGUGAGAUGUACGGUUAAGUCCGGAAACGAGCGCAACCCUUGCCCUGAUUUAUAUAUUUAUCAGGGGACUGCCACGUAUAACCGUGGAGGAAGGUGAGGAUGACGUCAAAUCAGCAUGUCCCUUACGUCUUGGGCUACACACGUGCUACAAUGGCCAGUAUAACGGGGCGCCAAACCGCAAGGUGGAGCAAAUCCCAUCAAAGCUGGCCUCAGCUCGGAU